GACGAACGCUGGCGGCGUGCUUAACACAUGCAAGUCGAGCGAUGAACCUUUCAUGAAUUUUUCGGAAUGAUUGGAAGAGGAUUAGCGGCGGACGGGUGAGUAACGCGUGAGCAACCUGCCUUAAACAACGGGAUAGCCUCGGGAAACCGGGAUUAAUACCGUAUGAGACCCCGCCUUCACAUGAAGAAGAGGUUAAAGAUUUAUCGGUUUAAGAUGGGCUCGCGUCUGAUUAGCUAGUUGGUGAGAUAAAAGCCCACCAAGGCAACGAUCAGUAACCGGCUUGAGAGAGUGAACGGUUACAUUGGAACUGAGACACGGUCCAAACUCAUACGGGAGGCAGCAGUGGGGAAUAUUGCACAAUGGGGGAAACCCUGAUGCAGCGACGCCGCGUGAGCGAUGAAGGAAUUCGUUUCGUAAAGCUCUGUCCAAGGGGAAGAUAAUGACAGUACCCUUGGAGGAAGCCCCGGCUAAAUACGUGCCAGCCGCCGCCGUAA
This 494-nucleotide ribosomal RNA is filed under the name uncultured bacterium. RNAcentral describes it as "partial 16S ribosomal RNA". It matches the Rfam family "Bacterial small subunit ribosomal RNA", at positions 28 to 523 of the family's 1533-position model. The record is from RNAcentral.